GACGAACGCUGGCGGCGUGCUUAACACAUGCAAGUCGAACGAUGAAGCUGGAGCUUGCUCCGGUGGAUUAGUGGCGAACGGGUGAGUAACACGUGAGCAAUCUGCCCUUGACUCUGGGAUAACUGCGGAAAACUGUAGCUAAUACCGGAUACUUUCACUGGAAGGCAUCUUCUGGUGAAGAAAGAAUUUCGGUCAAGGAUGAGCUCGCGGCCUAUCAGCUUGUUGGUGAGGUAACGGCUCACCAAGGCGACGACGGGUAGCCGGCCUGAGAGGGUGACCGGCCACACUGGGACUGAGACACGGCCCAGACUCCUACGGGAGGCAGCAGUGGGGAAUAUUGCACAAUGGGUGCAAGCCUGAUGCAGCAACGCCGCGUGAGGGAUGAAGGCCUUCGGGUUGUAAACCUCUUUUAGCAGGGAAGAAGCGAAAGUGACGGUACCUGCAGAAAAAGCACCGGCUAACUACGUGCCAGCCGCCGCAGUAA
This 484-nucleotide ribosomal RNA is filed under the name uncultured bacterium. Its description in RNAcentral is "partial 16S ribosomal RNA". It matches the Rfam family "Bacterial small subunit ribosomal RNA", at positions 28 to 523 of the family's 1533-position model. The record is from RNAcentral.